RNAcentral lists this unclassified non-coding RNA (291 nucleotides) under uncultured Ascomycota. RNAcentral's name for it is "sequence contains ITS1". The stretch from base 1 to 105 matches the Rfam family "5.8S ribosomal RNA", at positions 50 to 154 of the family's 154-position model. Lineage: Eukaryota; Fungi; Ascomycota. The record is from RNAcentral.
GAAAUGCGAUAAGUAAUGUGAAUUGCAGAAUUCAGUGAAUCAUCGAAUCUUUGAACGCACAUUGCGCCCUUUGGCAUUCCGAGGGGCAUGCCUGUUCGAGCGUCAUUACACCACUCAAGCCUGGCUUGGUAUUGGGCGAUGAGGCCUCCUCACGCCCCAAUUUCACCGGCUGGACGACCCGAUUCUCAGCGUUGUGGCAUCAGAUUCGCUGGCGGAGAGGGGCGGACCGCGCCGUUAAAACUUCCAUCAAAGGUUGACCUCGGAUCAGGUAGGGAUACCCGCUGAACUUAA